CCUGAUUAGUGGCGCACGGGUGAGUAAUAUAUAGAUAACGUGCCUCUUAGUCUGGGAUAGCCAUUGGAAACGAUGAUUAAUACCGGAUACUCCUUCUGAUUAUAAUUUCAGUCGGGAAAGUUUUUCGCUAAGAGAUCGGUCUAUAUCCCAUCAGCUUGUUGGUAGUGUAAGAGACUACCAAGGCUAUGACGGGUAGCGGGUUUGAGAGGAUGAUCCGCCACACUGGUACUGAGACACGGACCAGACUCC
Molecule: ribosomal RNA, 249 nt
Filed under: uncultured Sulfurimonas sp.
Lineage: Bacteria; Pseudomonadati; Campylobacterota; Epsilonproteobacteria; Campylobacterales; Sulfurimonadaceae
Description: partial 16S ribosomal RNA
Rfam family: Bacterial small subunit ribosomal RNA
Source: RNAcentral